RNAcentral lists this ribosomal RNA (253 nucleotides) under uncultured bacterium. RNAcentral describes it as "partial 16S ribosomal RNA". It matches the Rfam family "Bacterial small subunit ribosomal RNA", at positions 524 to 776 of the family's 1533-position model. The record is from RNAcentral.
UACGAAGGGAGCUAGCGUUGUUCGGAAUUACUGGGCGUAAAGGGCGCGUAGGCGGCUUAAUAAGUUGGGUGUGAAAUCCCAGGGCUCAACCCUGGAACGGCACCCAAGACUGUUUUGCUUGAAUUCGGUAGAGGAUGGUGGAAUUCCCAGUGUAGAGGUGAAAUUCGUAGAUAUUGGGAAGAAUAUCCGUGGCGAAGGCGGCCAUCUGGACCGACAUUGACGCUGAGGCGCGAAAGCGUGGGGAGCAAACAGG